UACGAAGGGGGCGAGCGUUGUUCGGAAUUACUGGGCGUAAAGCGCGCGUAGGCGGUCUUCCAAGUCAGUGGUGAAAGCCCGGAGCUCAACUCCGGAAAUGCCAUUGAAACUGUGAGACUGGAGUACGAGAGAGGUGAGUGGAAUUCCCAGUGUAGAGGUGAAAUUCGUAGAUAUUGGGAAGAACACCGGUGGCGAAGGCGGCUCACUGGCCCGUAACUGACGCUCAUGCACGAAAGCGUGGGGAUCAAACAGG
RNAcentral lists this ribosomal RNA (253 nucleotides) under uncultured bacterium. RNAcentral describes it as "partial 16S ribosomal RNA". It matches the Rfam family "Bacterial small subunit ribosomal RNA", at positions 524 to 776 of the family's 1533-position model. The record is from RNAcentral.